This 301-nucleotide ribosomal RNA is filed under the name uncultured bacterium. Its description in RNAcentral is "partial 16S ribosomal RNA". It matches the Rfam family "Bacterial small subunit ribosomal RNA", at positions 509 to 807 of the family's 1533-position model. The record is from RNAcentral.
CAGUCGCCACGGGAAUACGUAGGGCGCAAGCGUUAUCCGGAAUUAUUGGGCGUAAAGAGCUCGUAGGCGGUUUGUCGCGUCUGCCGUGAAAGUCCGGGGCUCAACCCCGGAUCUGCGGUGGGUACGGGCAGACUAGAGUGAUGUAGGGGAGACUGGAAUUCCUGGUGUAGCGGUGAAAUGCGCAGAUAUCAGGAGGAACACCGAUGGCGAAGGCAGGUCUCUGGGCAUUAACUGACGCUGAGGAGCGAAAGCAUGGGGAGCGAACAGGAUUAGAUACCCCCGUAGUCCCUGUCUCUUAUAC